Molecule: ribosomal RNA, 2903 nt
Filed under: Escherichia coli
Lineage: Bacteria; Pseudomonadati; Pseudomonadota; Gammaproteobacteria; Enterobacterales; Enterobacteriaceae
Description: 23S ribosomal RNA
Rfam family: Bacterial large subunit ribosomal RNA
Source: RNAcentral
UUAAGCGACUAAGCGUACACGGUGGAUGCCCUGGCAGUCAGAGGCGAUGAAGGACGUGCUAAUCUGCGAUAAGCGUCGGUAAGGUGAUAUGAACCGUUAUAACCGGCGAUUUCCGAAUGGGGAAACCCAGUGUGUUUCGACACACUAUCAUUAACUGAAUCCAUAGGUUAAUGAGGCGAACCGGGGGAACUGAAACAUCUAAGUACCCCGAGGAAAAGAAAUCAACCGAGAUUCCCCCAGUAGCGGCGAGCGAACGGGGAGCAGCCCAGAGCCUGAAUCAGUGUGUGUGUUAGUGGAAGCGUCUGGAAAGGCGCGCGAUACAGGGUGACAGCCCCGUACACAAAAAUGCACAUGCUGUGAGCUCGAUGAGUAGGGCGGGACACGUGGUAUCCUGUCUGAAUAUGGGGGGACCAUCCUCCAAGGCUAAAUACUCCUGACUGACCGAUAGUGAACCAGUACCGUGAGGGAAAGGCGAAAAGAACCCCGGCGAGGGGAGUGAAAAAGAACCUGAAACCGUGUACGUACAAGCAGUGGGAGCACGCUUAGGCGUGUGACUGCGUACCUUUUGUAUAAUGGGUCAGCGACUUAUAUUCUGUAGCAAGGUUAACCGAAUAGGGGAGCCGAAGGGAAACCGAGUCUUAACUGGGCGUUAAGUUGCAGGGUAUAGACCCGAAACCCGGUGAUCUAGCCAUGGGCAGGUUGAAGGUUGGGUAACACUAACUGGAGGACCGAACCGACUAAUGUUGAAAAAUUAGCGGAUGACUUGUGGCUGGGGGUGAAAGGCCAAUCAAACCGGGAGAUAGCUGGUUCUCCCCGAAAGCUAUUUAGGUAGCGCCUCGUGAAUUCAUCUCCGGGGGUAGAGCACUGUUUCGGCAAGGGGGUCAUCCCGACUUACCAACCCGAUGCAAACUGCGAAUACCGGAGAAUGUUAUCACGGGAGACACACGGCGGGUGCUAACGUCCGUCGUGAAGAGGGAAACAACCCAGACCGCCAGCUAAGGUCCCAAAGUCAUGGUUAAGUGGGAAACGAUGUGGGAAGGCCCAGACAGCCAGGAUGUUGGCUUAGAAGCAGCCAUCAUUUAAAGAAAGCGUAAUAGCUCACUGGUCGAGUCGGCCUGCGCGGAAGAUGUAACGGGGCUAAACCAUGCACCGAAGCUGCGGCAGCGACGCUUAUGCGUUGUUGGGUAGGGGAGCGUUCUGUAAGCCUGUGAAGGUGUGCUGUGAGGCAUGCUGGAGGUAUCAGAAGUGCGAAUGCUGACAUAAGUAACGAUAAAGCGGGUGAAAAGCCCGCUCGCCGGAAGACCAAGGGUUCCUGUCCAACGUUAAUCGGGGCAGGGUGAGUCGACCCCUAAGGCGAGGCCGAAAGGCGUAGUCGAUGGGAAACAGGUUAAUAUUCCUGUACUUGGUGUUACUGCGAAGGGGGGACGGAGAAGGCUAUGUUGGCCGGGCGACGGUUGUCCCGGUUUAAGCGUGUAGGCUGGUUUUCCAGGCAAAUCCGGAAAAUCAAGGCUGAGGCGUGAUGACGAGGCACUACGGUGCUGAAGCAACAAAUGCCCUGCUUCCAGGAAAAGCCUCUAAGCAUCAGGUAACAUCAAAUCGUACCCCAAACCGACACAGGUGGUCAGGUAGAGAAUACCAAGGCGCUUGAGAGAACUCGGGUGAAGGAACUAGGCAAAAUGGUGCCGUAACUUCGGGAGAAGGCACGCUGAUAUGUAGGUGAAGUCCCUUGCGGAUGGAGCUGAAAUCAGUCGAAGAUACCAGCUGGCUGCAACUGUUUAUUAAAAACACAGCACUGUGCAAACACGAAAGUGGACGUAUACGGUGUGACGCCUGCCCGGUGCCGGAAGGUUAAUUGAUGGGGUUAGCGGUAACGCGAAGCUCUUGAUCGAAGCCCCGGUAAACGGCGGCCGUAACUAUAACGGUCCUAAGGUAGCGAAAUUCCUUGUCGGGUAAGUUCCGACCUGCACGAAUGGCGUAAUGAUGGCCAGGCUGUCUCCACCCGAGACUCAGUGAAAUUGAACUCGCUGUGAAGAUGCAGUGUACCCGCGGCAAGACGGAAAGACCCCGUGAACCUUUACUAUAGCUUGACACUGAACAUUGAGCCUUGAUGUGUAGGAUAGGUGGGAGGCUUUGAAGUGUGGACGCCAGUCUGCAUGGAGCCGACCUUGAAAUACCACCCUUUAAUGUUUGAUGUUCUAACGUUGACCCGUAAUCCGGGUUGCGGACAGUGUCUGGUGGGUAGUUUGACUGGGGCGGUCUCCUCCUAAAGAGUAACGGAGGAGCACGAAGGUUGGCUAAUCCUGGUCGGACAUCAGGAGGUUAGUGCAAUGGCAUAAGCCAGCUUGACUGCGAGCGUGACGGCGCGAGCAGGUGCGAAAGCAGGUCAUAGUGAUCCGGUGGUUCUGAAUGGAAGGGCCAUCGCUCAACGGAUAAAAGGUACUCCGGGGAUAACAGGCUGAUACCGCCCAAGAGUUCAUAUCGACGGCGGUGUUUGGCACCUCGAUGUCGGCUCAUCACAUCCUGGGGCUGAAGUAGGUCCCAAGGGUAUGGCUGUUCGCCAUUUAAAGUGGUACGCGAGCUGGGUUUAGAACGUCGUGAGACAGUUCGGUCCCUAUCUGCCGUGGGCGCUGGAGAACUGAGGGGGGCUGCUCCUAGUACGAGAGGACCGGAGUGGACGCAUCACUGGUGUUCGGGUUGUCAUGCCAAUGGCACUGCCCGGUAGCUAAAUGCGGAAGAGAUAAGUGCUGAAAGCAUCUAAGCACGAAACUUGCCCCGAGAUGAGUUCUCCCUGACCCUUUAAGGGUCCUGAAGGAACGUUGAAGACGACGACGUUGAUAGGCCGGGUGUGUAAGCGCAGCGAUGCGUUGAGCUAACCGGUACUAAUGAACCGUGAGGCUUAACCU